RNAcentral lists this long non-coding RNA (318 nucleotides) under Homo sapiens (human). Its description in RNAcentral is "non-protein coding LINC02407:19". The record is from RNAcentral. Lineage: Eukaryota; Metazoa; Chordata; Mammalia; Primates; Hominidae.
CAGAGGUCCUUCCAGGCAGUUCUCAACUUGCUCCUUGGCUGUUCUCCUGACACUUAAGUCAGAGCAUUCUGUAGCUGUAUUUUACAGAACUGUAAUUGCACAGAUUGUUCCUCUUACAAGAGAAAUAUCCAGAGCUCUAAGAAAACAACUGAUGAAAACGGUACAUGCGUGACAUUUGGUGCUGAAGACCCAGGUCAGAGAGACUCCUUUGGGGGACCAGUCCGCUGUCCUUGCCCUCACUCUGUGAGGAGACCCACCUACGACCUCGGGUCCUCAGACCAACCAGCUCAAGGAACAUCUCACCAAUUUCAAAUCGGG